CUGCGGAAGGAUCAUUGUCGUGACCCUGACCAAAACAGACUGCGCACGCGUCAUCCAAUCCGUCGGCGACGGCACCGUCCGUCGCUCGGCCAAUGCCUCGACCACCUCCCCUCCUCGGAGCGGGUGGGGGCUCGGGGUAAAAGAACCCACGGCGCCGAAGGCGUCAAGGAACACUGUGCCUAACCCGGGGGCAUGUCUAGCUUGCUAGCCGUCCCUCGUGUUGCAAAUCUAUUUAAUCCACACGACUCUCGGCAACGGAUAUCUCGGCUCUCGCAUCGAUGAAGAACGUAGCGAAAUGCGAUACCUGGUGUGAAUUGCAGAAUCCCGCGAACCAUCGAGUCUUUGAACGCAAGUUGCGCCCGAGGCCACUCGGCCGAGGGCACGCCUGCCUGGGCGUCACGCCAAAACACGCUCCCAACCACUCUCAACGGGAAUCGGGAUGCGGCAUCUGGUCCCUCGUCUCUCAAGGGACGGUGGACCGAAGAUUGGGCUGCCGGCGUACCGCGCCGGACACAGCGCAUGGUGGGCGUCCUCGCUUUAUCAAUGCAGUGCAUCCGGCGCGCAGCUGGCAUUAUGGCCUUUGAACGACCCAACAAACGAAGCGCACGUCGCUUCGACCGCGACCCCAGGUCAGGCGGGACUACCCGCUGAGUUUAAGCA
RNAcentral lists this ribosomal RNA (660 nucleotides) under Triticum turgidum (rivet wheat). Its description in RNAcentral is "eukaryotic LSU rRNA". The stretch from base 244 to 399 matches the Rfam family "5.8S ribosomal RNA". Lineage: Eukaryota; Viridiplantae; Streptophyta; Magnoliopsida; Poales; Poaceae. The record is from RNAcentral.